RNAcentral lists this ribosomal RNA (518 nucleotides) under uncultured bacterium. RNAcentral's name for it is "bacterial SSU rRNA". It matches the Rfam family "Bacterial small subunit ribosomal RNA", at positions 28 to 526 of the family's 1533-position model. The record is from RNAcentral.
GACGAACGCUGGCGGCGUGCCUAAUACAUGCAAGUCGAGCGGAGUGGUUUGAAAGCUUCUUUCAAACUGCUUAGCGGCGGACGGGUGAGUAACACGUAGGUAACCUGCCUGUAAGACUGGGAUAACAUUCGGAAACGAAUGCUAAUACCAGAUACGCGAUUUUCUCGCAUGGGAGAAUCGGGAAAGACGGAGCAAUCUGUCACUUACAGAUGGACCUGCGGCGCAUUAGCUAGUUGGUGGGGUAACGGCUCACCAAGGCGACGAUGCGUAGCCGACCUGAGAGGGUGAUCGGCCACACUGGGACUGAGACACGGCCCAGACUCCUACGGGAGGCAGCAGUAGGGAAUCUUCCGCAAUGGACGAAAGUCUGACGGAGCAACGCCGCGUGAGUGAUGAAGGCUUUCGGGUCGUAAAGCUCUGUUGCCAGGGAAGAACACUUAGGAGAGUAACUGCUCUUAAGGUGACGGUACCUGAGAAGAAAGCCCCGGCUAACUACGUGCCAGCAGCCGCAGUAACAC